AAAUUGAAGAGUUUGAUCAUGGCUCAGAUUGAACGCUGGCGGCAGGCCUAACACAUGCAAGUCGAACGGUAACAGGAAGCAGCUUGCUGCUUCGCUGACGAGUGGCGGACGGGUGAGUAAUGUCUGGGAAACUGCCUGAUGGAGGGGGAUAACUACUGGAAACGGUGGCUAAUACCGCAUAACGUCGCAAGACCAAAGAGGGGGACCUUCGGGCCUCUUGCCAUCAGAUGUGCCCAGAUGGGAUUAGCUUGUUGGUGAGGUAACGGCUCACCAAGGCGACGAUCCCUAGCUGGUCUGAGAGGAUGACCAGCCACACUGGAACUGAGACACGGUCCAGACUCCUAC
RNAcentral lists this ribosomal RNA (345 nucleotides) under Salmonella enterica. Its description in RNAcentral is "partial 16S ribosomal RNA". It matches the Rfam family "Bacterial small subunit ribosomal RNA", at positions 1 to 342 of the family's 1533-position model. RNAcentral also lists the same sequence under 2 other names. Lineage: Bacteria; Pseudomonadati; Pseudomonadota; Gammaproteobacteria; Enterobacterales; Enterobacteriaceae. The record is from RNAcentral.